AUACUUACCUGGACGGGGUCGACGGCCGAUCAAGAAGGGCCGUGGCCUAGAUCAAUGGCUCACAUUGCACUUGGUGAGCGCGUUGGUUUACCAUCUCCCCAAGUGGGAGAGUGGACGUCAUAAUUUGUGAUAGAGGGGGUACGCGUUCGCGCGGCCCCUG
Molecule: small nuclear RNA, 160 nt
Organism: Oryza sativa Japonica Group (Japanese rice)
Lineage: Eukaryota; Viridiplantae; Streptophyta; Magnoliopsida; Poales; Poaceae
Rfam family: U1 spliceosomal RNA
About the family: U1 is a small nuclear RNA (snRNA) component of the spliceosome (involved in pre-mRNA splicing).
Source: Rfam